RNAcentral lists this ribosomal RNA (646 nucleotides) under uncultured Actinomycetales bacterium. RNAcentral's name for it is "bacterial SSU rRNA". It matches the Rfam family "Bacterial small subunit ribosomal RNA", at positions 65 to 725 of the family's 1533-position model. The record is from RNAcentral. Lineage: Bacteria; Bacillati; Actinomycetota; Actinomycetes; Actinomycetales.
AACGGAAAGGCCCUGCUUGCAGGGUACUCGAGUGGCGAACGGGUGAGUAACACGUGGGUGAUCUGCCCUGCACUUCGGGAUAAGCCUGGGAAACUGGGUCUAAUACCGGAUAGGAGCCAUUUUUAGUGUGAUGGUUGGAAAGUUUUUUCGGUGUAGGAUGAGCUCGCGGCCUAUCAGCUUGUUGGUGGGGUAAUGGCCUACCAAGGCGGCGACGGGUAGCCGGCCUGAGAGGGUGGACGGCCACAUUGGGACUGAGAUACGGCCCAGACUCCUACGGGAGGCAGCAGUGGGGAAUAUUGCACAAUGGGCGCAAGCCUGAUGCAGCGACGCCGCGUGGGGGAUGACGGCCUUCGGGUUGUAAACUCCUUUCGCUAGGGACGAAGCUUUUUGUGACGGUACCUAGAUAAGAAGCACCGGCUAACUACGUGCCAGCAGCCGCGGUAAUACGUAGGGUGCGAGCGUUGUCCGGAAUUACUGGGCGUAAAGGGCUCGUAGGUGGUUUGUCGCGUCGUCUGUGAAAUUCCGGGGCUUAACUCCGGGCGUGCAGGCGAUACGGGCAUAACUUGAGUACUGUAGGGGUAACUGGAAUUCCUGGUGUAGCGGUGAAAUGCGCAGAUAUCAGGAGGACACCGAUGGCGAAGGCAGG